AAAUAGUUUACCAUUUAUCUUCUAAUAUCAGGUAUUUCCACACGGGGGAAAAAUCUACCAAAUGAUCAUAUUAUAAUCAGUAAAUUCUCCUCUGGGUCCCUAAACUAAGAUAAAGGAAAACAAAAACAUUAGGAAUACAAACCUGUUUUCCCAAUUCUUUAGUGUCACUUUCCCUAGUUAUGGAAGUUUAAUCCCCUUUUCCUAAUAAUACUUAGUCAGUCAAAUAAAAGGUUUUCACUUACCUUUUUCCAGCAACAAGGUACCCUCAGCACUGCUCAUCACUCCUCCUCCCAUGACGUCAUGGAGGAGGCAUGUCCUCUGGCACGACAAUCCAAUCCAAUUCUUCUCACAGAGGAGCACCGGAGACCUGAUGUACAUGUGUAAUGCACAUCCCAGCUUUCUCAUAGUAAAGCAUUGAAUCAAUUGUAAAGCUUCUCAUAGUAAAGCUUCUG
Non-coding RNA from Pelobates cultripes (western spadefoot toad), 452 nucleotides. Lineage: Eukaryota; Metazoa; Chordata; Amphibia; Anura; Pelobatidae. The record is from the annotation of a GenBank genome assembly.